This 398-nucleotide transfer-messenger RNA is filed under the name Bacteroidales. Its description in RNAcentral is "Cryptobacteroides sp018066065 Standard tmRNA". It matches the Rfam family "transfer-messenger RNA". From Rfam's summary of the family: Bacterial tmRNA, also known as 10Sa RNA or SsrA, is named for its dual tRNA and mRNA-like properties. Its role is to liberate the mRNA from a stalled ribosome. To accomplish this part of the tmRNA is used as a reading frame that ends in a translation stop signal. Lineage: Bacteria; Pseudomonadati; Bacteroidota; Bacteroidia. The record is from RNAcentral. RNAcentral also lists the same sequence under 1 other name.
GGGGAUGUACUGGUUUCGACAGCACCGAUCCCGGGCGGUAAGCACGUCGGGCUCCUGGAGGGCCGGCCCGUCAAACUGGCUCUUCAAAAAUUAGUUGCUGAUAACAACUACGCACUCGCUGCCUAAUCGACCAAGUCGCUUAGCUUAAUCCGAGCCGCCAAGGAUGCGGCUCCGACGAGUAUCCCGCGGACUUUAGGCCUUCUCUGUUCCGACUUCGGGGUAUCAUUCAAGAAGGAUGCGCCAGUGGAUUCCUUUAAAGCUGGCAAAGAUUCAGAGGAUAAGCUUCGGAGAGCCCGCCUUCCGGCAUUCCGUUUCCGACAAUCAAAGGAUGGAUAAGCGUGUAGAAAGCUUCCUGGUACGGUGUUUGGACGGCGGUUCGACUCCGCCCAUCUCCACGA